Molecule: ribosomal RNA, 372 nt
Filed under: uncultured Glomeromycotina
Lineage: Eukaryota; Fungi; Glomeromycota
Description: LSU rRNA
Source: RNAcentral
UUGAAAGGGAAACGAUUGAAGUCAGUCGUACCGGCGGGUAAUCAGCCUUUUGGGUGUGAUUAUGUGGAGCGUGAGGAGCUAAUCGCCUUCAUCUUUGCAUAUUCGUGCACUUUGGGUGUACUUGCUCGUGUGGUAGGUUAACAUCAAUUUUGAUCAUCAUAAAGUGAUUGAAGGAAUGUAGCUUCGAUCUCGUAUUGAAGUGUUAUAGCCUUUGGUAGAUGUGAUGAUCGGGAUUGAGGAUUGCAACGGAUANNUUCGGGGCUACCUGUCUGAUCUCUGAAAGUUGCUCUGGUGCCGAAAGCUUGCUUACGGUUAUCAAAGUCGACGUUCAAUAGGUUAGAACGGGAUAAAUUCGUUAAAGAUGUUGACGUA